CAGUCGCCGCGGUAAUACGUAGGGUGCGAGCGUUAAUUGGAAUUACUGGGCGUAAAGCGUGCGCAGGCGGUUAUAUAAGACAGAUGUGAAAUCCCCGGGCUCAACCUGGGACCUGCAUUUGUGACUGUAUAGCUAGAGUACGCUAGAGGGGGAUGGAAUUCCGCGUGUAGCAGUGAAAUGCGUAGAUAUGCGGAGGAACACCGAUGGCGAAGGCAAUCCCCUGGACCUGUACUGACGCUCAUGCAUGAAAGCGUGGGGAGCAAACAGAAUUAGAUACCCCUGUAGUCCCUGUCUCUUAUAC
This 301-nucleotide ribosomal RNA is filed under the name uncultured bacterium. Its description in RNAcentral is "partial 16S ribosomal RNA". It matches the Rfam family "Bacterial small subunit ribosomal RNA", at positions 509 to 807 of the family's 1533-position model. The record is from RNAcentral.